GACGAACGCUGGCGGCGUGCUUAACACAUGCAAGUCGAACGGUGAAGCUCCAGCUUGCUGGAGUGGAUCAGUGGCGAACGGGUGAGUAACACGUGAGCAACCGCCCCUGACUCUGGAAUAAGCGCUGGAAACGGCGUCUAAUACUGGAUACGAGAAGGGUCCGCAUGGGCACUUUCUGGAAAGUUUUUCGGUUGGGGAUGGGCUCGCGGCCUAUCAGCUUGUUGGUGAGGUAAUGGCUCACCAAGGCGACGACGGGUAGCCGGCCUGAGAGGGCGACCGGCCACACUGGGACUGAGACACGGCCCAGACUCCUACGGGAGGCAGCAGUGGGGAAUAUUGCACAAUGGGCGAAAGCCUGAUGCAGCGACGCCGCGUGAGGGAUGACGGCCUUCGGGUUGUAAACCUCUUUCAGCAGGGAAGAAGCGAAAGUGACGGUACCUGCAGAAGAAGCACCGGCUAACUACGUG
Molecule: ribosomal RNA, 467 nt
Filed under: uncultured bacterium
Lineage: Bacteria
Description: partial 16S ribosomal RNA
Rfam family: Bacterial small subunit ribosomal RNA
Source: RNAcentral